RNAcentral lists this ribosomal RNA (326 nucleotides) under uncultured eukaryote. RNAcentral's name for it is "partial 18S ribosomal RNA". It matches the Rfam family "Eukaryotic small subunit ribosomal RNA", at positions 1470 to 1796 of the family's 1831-position model. The record is from RNAcentral.
CCCUUAGAUGUUCUGGGCCGCACGCGCGCUACACUGUUUGAUUCAGCGAGUCUUAACCUUGACCGAAAGGUUUGGGUAAUCUUCUAAAGUCAAACGUGAUGGGGAUCGAUCAUUGCAAUUAUUGAUCGGGAACGAGGAAUUCCCAGUAAGCGCGAGUCAUAAGCUCGCGUUGAUUACGUCCCUGCCCUUUGUACACACCGCCCGUCGCUCCUACCGAUUGAGUGGUCCGGUGAGGCUUUGGGAUCUGAGCGGAAAGAGCGUUUCGCUGUUUCUGCUCGGAAAACUCAGUCGAACCUUAUCAUUUAGAGGAAGGAGAAGUCGUAACA